Tribolium castaneum (red flour beetle) is the source of this 2596-nucleotide long non-coding RNA. RefSeq lists it as uncharacterized. Lineage: Eukaryota; Metazoa; Arthropoda; Insecta; Coleoptera; Tenebrionidae. The record is from RefSeq and is a predicted model, not a curated record. The transcript has 2 exons.
UUUUGAUGAGCUAUUCUGCGUUCACCCAUCAUUUCUCUCGAUGUGUCGUCUGCCUCUGCCUCUGCCGCUACCGCUGCCGCUGCCGCUGCCGCUGCCGCCCGGUUGACAAACAUCGAUAAAACAAAUUGCUUUAAAGUUCGCCUCGUGGUAAAUUCUUUAAUUAAAACUGCGCAAUUUGGAGCUUCAUCAAAAAUGAUUGUGUAAUAAAAGGAGGAAUGUAUGUGAGCCGAAGUAACAACGAGAACUUGUUGUGAUGAACCAUAUAGACUUUGGAAUGGGGUGAAACCGGACAGCAAUGAUGGAUUAUGCUGUCAUCUAUUUGCACACGUAGCAAAUUGUGUCGACUAUAUGCAAUCGUGACCGGAGUAUACUGGUUAAUGUUUUUGAUAGAAUUCACUCAGUUAUCAAUCUUCUUGUACGUUCUUCGGUCACCCGUCGGAUGUGCGAAUGAAAUAUUGCCGGCAUUACAGCUUUCCAUUCUCUCGACUUCACUAUACAUUAAAAUCUUGAUCUACUCUACUCCCCGUGACUAAACUUUUCUUUCAUCAUAAUCAUAUUUGCAUGAUAUUACUAACAUCACACGAGAUUAUUUGGUAAAAGAUUAAAAAAUAUAUUAAUUCUCAAUUGCAUGAUCACCGCGUCUGGAUAAUUGAUAUUCUGAAAGACUAGUUGACUCUUUUAUUAAAGGGUCACAUUCGGAAGCGGUUGCUAGCUUUAAUCCAAGUUUUCAAAUCUUGACAUUAAGACAGUAUCGUAAAAUAGAUAAUUUAGGAAGGAGAGUUUACCAGGUUUACCUGCUCAUAAAGUUAAAAAUCGUAUCAAACUACGACUUGCGUUUAAACCGGUUUUCACAGGUGCUGUGUUUAGCUGUCGACUAGUGAAAUAAAAUAAUAGAUUAUAAGUUUUGACAUGCAUAUAGUUUGUAGUAGGUACCAUUGACCCAUAACGGUGAAGGGCUGUUAUUUUAAGAUUUCACCUUGUUAUUUUGUCAAAAAUCUUUUCUAUCUUAACUCAAUUAAGUGUAAAAUCCUAAAUUACAGCGAUUAUAGACCACAAUGCAAAAAAAUCUGUCACCAUAUUAUAUAUUAUUAAAAUGCAUCCGUGAAGGAAUAAAUCGUUUACGUUGGGAGCGAAUUUUCCGUUUGAAAACACACAUGAUACAUUGUAUUUUUUAUACGAUGUAUGUUCAUCAAUAACAGAAACAAAGUUUGUGGCAUUCGAUCAAUUUUGUGCACGCAUCUUUAUUAUUCAGGGGAACGUUUACCCGUGAUAGAAAAACUUGUUGAAGAAGAGAAUUAUAUGCAAGGGCAUGUUUUGGUGUCAUCUGUGAACUUUUUAACCAUUUUGAAUAAAUAAGUUGGGAGAACAAGAACGAACCUAAUUAAACGUACCGUUUUUGUAAUUUUUCAAUGAUCCGUGACCACGAAUAGAUUAAACAGAAUCGGAACCAUGUAUCGGAGUUUUUCUCAGGAACACAAUGUUGGGGCUUAAUCCGUAAUUUGAAUUGUUCCAGUCGGGCCAGUUGGUGAGUAAGAUUUUGUCCAUUGAUUUAUUAUUAAAGUGUAACGAGGAACACGGAUUGGGCGUUUGGGGUGGCGACCGCACGCCAUCUUGAGUGACAUUUCAUUUAACUCCUGUACUAGUUGUCACUCAGAGCACUAUUGGUGCAAAAGAGGACGGACGCGUUGUGACCCGAGUUGGAGUUAUCCAUGUGUGAUGCUGCUAAAUUACCUCCGGAGAUUACUGUUAUUGAUUAGAAAAGUAGCCCUUUUCGAGAUGAGACCUAAUGAUUAAUUGAGUUUUCGUGUAAUUGGAGUAAUGUGUCGUUCGAUUUGAUUAAUUCAAGAAGUGAUUCAAUUCGAACCACAUUUAGAGAUUGAUUUAUUCAUGCUAGCUGGCACAAAUGAUUGAACGAUUACUUUAUUGUUUAAUUUUCUCUACGUCAUUUUUCAAUUAAUUGCCGCCAGGUUUCUUUAAUUCUGUGAAAAAGGAGAUUUAUUUUCAAAAGACCCGUCAGGACUGCGGUCUCGUAAAUAUUUUUACUGUCCACUUGUCAAUUCAGAGUGAUCAGAAAAUUGAGAGGGUGCCACACAUUCACACAAUGGGAACAAUUGAAUUUCGAACUGGAUGCAAACUCAAUGCAUUAUCGGCAACAGAUUACUGUUUGUACGGAACAAAACAGGUGUAGUAACGUGUUACCCUUCGAACGGACACGUCUAUGCAAGACACCUGUAGAAUAUUAACACCCAUCUGAAAGGGCCAGCGACAACUCUCACAACAAAUUAAUUACAACCAUGAAUCUCAACAUCGCGCUCGCUAUUCAACAUCAUUGCAGGCCAUUUCACCGGAUUAUCAAAUCGUUAUUACAACCGUAUAGACAUCUUGGGUUUAGAGGAUUAGGUGGAUUCACUUGGAACGGUUGAUGGUGGAUUAGGAUGGCAAUUAGUCAUUCCUACACCGUUGCGUAAAUCAUCGAGAUUGUGAGAUAAGUUAGUACGUUAUAUGUUAAUAUUAAAGCAAUAUGGACAGGGGGGGCGUCAUCUCUCACCCGCAUGACUGUGUACUAUUACUAGGUGUAAUAAAGAACUUUCAACGA